GGUUCGAUCAUGGCUCAGAUUGAACGCUGGCGGGAUGCUUACACAUACUGCAAGUCGAACGGCGGCACGGACUUCGGUCUGGUUGGCGAGUGGCGAACAGGUGAUAAUGUAUCGGAACGUGCCACAAUAGCGGGGAUAGUUAACUGCGCGAAAAUAGCUAAUACAUACGCCCUUCGGGGGAAAAGCAGGGGACCUUCGGGCCUCGCACUAUUAGAGCGGCCGAUAUCGGAUUAGCUAGUUGGUGGGGUAACGGCUCCGCCAGAACGGCGAUCGUAGCUGGUUUGAAGGACGACCAACCACACUGGGACGAGACUGACCCAGACUCCUACGGGAGGCAGCAGUGGGGAAUUUGGACAAUGGGGGAAACCCUGAUCCAGCCAUCCCGCGCGUGUGCGAUGAAGGCCUUCAGGUUCUCAGCACUUUUGGCAGGAAAGAAACGGCACGGGAUAAUACCCCGUGCAACUGACAGUACCUGCAGAAUAAGCACCGGCUAACUACGUGCCAGCAGCCGCGGUAAUACGUAGGGUGCAAGCGUUAAUCAGAUUACUGGGCGUAAAGCGUGCGCAGGCGGUUCGGAAGAAAGAUGUGAAAUCAAGAGCUUAACUUUGGAACUGCAUUUUUAACUACCGAGCUAGAGUGGUAUCAGAGGGAGGUGGAAUUCCGCGUGUAGCAGUAUUGUAAGAUAUGCGGAGGAACACCGAUGGCGAAGGCAGCACUCCUGGGAUAACACUGACGCUCAUGCACGAAAGCGUGGGAGCAAACAGGAUUAGAUACCCUGGUAGUCCGCCUAAACGAUGUCAACUAGCUGUUGGGGCCUUCGGAGCCUUGGUGCUUCAACUAACGCGUGAAGUUGACCGCCUGGGAAAUUGCAGUCCGCUGGAAUUAAAACUCAAAGAAUUGACGGGGACCCGCACAAGCGGUGGAUGAUGUGGAUUAAUUCGAUGCUUGCGAAAAACCUUACCUACCCUUGACAUGUCUGGAAUCCAAGAAAGAGAUUUGGGAGUGCUCGCAAGAGAACCGGAACACAGGUGCUGCAUGGCUGUCGUCAGCUCGUGUGUCGUGAGAUAUUGCGGGUUAAGUCCCGCAACGAGCGCAGCCUUGUCAUUAGUUGCUACGAAAGGGCACUCUAAUGAAGCUGCCGGUGACAAACCGGAGGUGGGGAUGACGUCAAGUCCUCAUGGCCCUUAUGGGUAGGGCUUCACACGUCAUACAAUGGUCGGGACAGGGGGUCGCCAACCCGCGAGGAGCCCAAUCCCAGAAACCCGAUCGUAGUCCGGAUCGCAGUCUGCAACUCGACUGCGUGAAGUCGGAAUCGCUAGUAAUCGCGGAUCCAGCAUGUCGCGGUGAAUACGUUCCCGGGUCUUGCACACCGCCCGUCACACCAUGGGAGUGGGUUUUACCAGAAGUAGUUAGCCUAGCCGUAAGGAGGGCGAUUACCACGGUAGGAUUCAUGACUGGGGUGAAGUCGUAGCCUGGAGUAG
Molecule: ribosomal RNA, 1481 nt
Filed under: uncultured Bordetella sp.
Lineage: Bacteria; Pseudomonadati; Pseudomonadota; Betaproteobacteria; Burkholderiales; Alcaligenaceae
Description: partial 16S-23S ribosomal RNA intergenic spacer
Rfam family: Bacterial small subunit ribosomal RNA
Source: RNAcentral